This 70-nucleotide transfer RNA is filed under the name Littoraria sinensis. Its description in RNAcentral is "tRNA-Asn". Lineage: Eukaryota; Metazoa; Mollusca; Gastropoda; Littorinimorpha; Littorinidae. The record is from RNAcentral.
UGAACGAAAGCCAAACUAGCGGCGCCUAGCUGUUAAUUAGGAGACUGUAGAAUGAAUACUACUCGUCCAG